Molecule: ribosomal RNA, 399 nt
Filed under: uncultured bacterium
Lineage: Bacteria
Description: partial 16S ribosomal RNA
Rfam family: Bacterial small subunit ribosomal RNA
Source: RNAcentral
CCUACGGGUGGCAGCAGUGAGGAAUAUUGGUCAAUGGGCGUAAGCCUGAACCAGCCAAGUAGCGUGAGGGAUGAAUGCUCUACGGAUUGUAAACCUCUUUUAUAAAGGAAUAAAGUGAGGCACGUGUGCCUUUUUGUAUGUACUUUAUGAAUAAGGAUCGGCUAACUCCGUGCCAGCAGCCGCGGUAAUACGGAGGAUCCGAGCGUUAUCCGGAUUUAUUGGGUUUAAAGGGAGCGUAGAUGGGCUGUUAAGUCAGUUGUGAAAGUUUGUGGCUCAACCAUAGAAUUGCCAUUGAUACUGGGAGUCUUGAGUAUAGUUGAGGCAGGCGGAAUGCGUGGUGUAGCGGUGAAAUGCUUAGAUAUCACGAAGAACCCCGAUUGCGAAGGCAGCUUACCAAGC